This 271-nucleotide ribosomal RNA is filed under the name uncultured archaeon. Its description in RNAcentral is "partial 16S ribosomal RNA". It matches the Rfam family "Archaeal small subunit ribosomal RNA", at positions 477 to 747 of the family's 1478-position model. The record is from RNAcentral.
CAGCGUCACAAGUGGCAUCCGCUAUUAUUGGGUCUAAAGCGUCCGUAGCCGGUUUGAUAAAUCUCUUGUGAAAUCGUUUGGCUCAACCAAACGGCAAGCAGGAGACACUAUCAAACUUGAGACCGGGAAGGGUUAGAGGUAUGUUUGGGGGAGCGGUAAAAUGCUAUAAUCCCUUACAGACCAAUGGUGGCGAAGGCGUCUAACUAGAACGGAUCUGACGGUGAGGGACGAAAGCCAGGGGAGCAAACCGGAUUAGAUACCCGUGUAGUCC